Molecule: ribosomal RNA, 253 nt
Filed under: uncultured bacterium
Lineage: Bacteria
Description: partial 16S ribosomal RNA
Rfam family: Bacterial small subunit ribosomal RNA
Source: RNAcentral
UACAGAGGUCUCAAGCGUUGUUCGGAUUCAUUGGGCGUAAAGGGUGCGUAGGCGGCGCGGUAAGUCGGGUGUGAAAUCUCGGAGCUUAACUCCGAAACUGCAUUCGAUACUGCCGUGCUUGAGGACUGGAGAGGAGACUGGGAUUUACGGUGUAGCGGUGAAAUGCGUAGAUAUCGUAAGGAAGACCAGUGGCGAAGGCGGGUCUCUGGACAGUUCCUGACGCUGAGGCACGAAGGUCAGGGGAGCAAACAGG